Molecule: ribosomal RNA, 392 nt
Filed under: uncultured Methanosaeta sp.
Lineage: Archaea; Methanobacteriati; Methanobacteriota; Methanomicrobia; Methanotrichales; Methanotrichaceae
Description: bacterial SSU rRNA
Rfam family: Archaeal small subunit ribosomal RNA
Source: RNAcentral
GAAGGUCAGGCUGAAGACCUUACCCGAUUAGCUGAGAGGUGGUGCAUGGCCGUCGUCAGUUCGUACUGUGAAGCAUCCUGUUAAAGUCAGGCAACGAGCGAGACCCACGUCCACAGUUGCCAGCAUACCCUCCGGGGUGAUGGGUACACUGUGGAGACCGCCGCUGCUAAAGCGGAGGAAGGAGUGGGCAACGGUAGGUCAGUAUGCCCCGAAUCUCCCGGGCUACACGCGGGCUACAAUGGUUGGUACAAUGGGCAUCUACCCCGAAAGGGGAAGGAAAUCUCUUAAAGCCAAUCGUAGUUCGGAUUGAGGGCUGCAACUCGCCCUCAUGAAGCUGGAAUCCGUAGUAAUCGCGUUUCAACAGAACGCGGUGAAUACGUCCCUGCUCCGUU